UGGGUAGUCCGCACGAGCGCACCUUAUCUUUAGUUGCCAUCAGGUCAAGCUGGGCACUCUAAAGAAACUGCCGGUGAUAAGCCGGAGGAAGGCGGGGAUGACGUCAAGUCCUCAUGGCCCUUAUGACCUGGGCUACACACGUGCUACAAUGGCAGUGACAAUGAGCAGCGAUAGUGCGAACUUCAGCUAACCUCAAAAAUCUGUCUCAGUUCGGAUUGAACUCUGCAACUCGAGUUCAUGAAGUUGGAAUCGCUAGUAAUCGUAGAUCAGCAUGCUACGGUGAAUACGUUCCCGGGCCUUGUACACACCGCCCGUCACACCAUGGAAGUUGGUUUUACCCAAAGACGACGCGCUAACCGUAAGGAGGCAGUCGGCCACGGUAAGGUCAGCGACUGGGGUGAAGUCGUAACAAGGUAGCCGUACCGGAAGGUGUGGCUGGAUCACCUCCUUUCU
RNAcentral lists this ribosomal RNA (453 nucleotides) under uncultured Alphaproteobacteria bacterium. RNAcentral describes it as "bacterial SSU rRNA". It matches the Rfam family "Bacterial small subunit ribosomal RNA", at positions 1077 to 1533 of the family's 1533-position model. Lineage: Bacteria; Pseudomonadati; Pseudomonadota; Alphaproteobacteria. The record is from RNAcentral.